GGUUUGUCGCGUCUGCCGUGAAAAUCCAGUGCUCAACACUGGACGUGCGGUGGGUACGGGCAGGCUGGAGUGCGGUAGGGGAGACUGGAAUUCCUGGUGUAGCGGUGGAAUGCGCAGAUAUCAGGAGGAACACCGAUGGCGAAGGCAGGUCUCUGGGCCGUUACUGACGCUGAGGAGCGAAAGCAUGGGUAGCGAACAGGAUUAGAUACCCUGGUAGUCCAUGCCGUAAACGUUGGGCACUAGGUGUGGGGGAUGUUUCCACGUUCUCCGUGCCGCAGCUAACGCAUUAAGUGCCCCGCCUGGGGAGUACGGCCGCAAGGCUAAAACUCAAAGGAAUUGACGGGGGCCCCGCACAAGCGGCGGAGCAUGCGGAUUAAUUCGAUGCAACGCGAAGAACCUUACCAAGGCUUGACAUGUGCCGGAAGCGCGCAGAGAUGUGUGUGCCCUUUGGGCCGGUUCACAGGUGGUGCAUGGUUGUCGUCAGCUCGUGUCGUGAGAUGUUGGGUUAAGUCCCGCAACGAGCGCAACCCUUGUCCUAUGUUGCCAGCGGGUAGUGCCGGGGACUCGUGGGAGACUGCCGGGGUCAACUCGGAGGAAGGUGGGGACGACGUCAAAUCAUCAUGCCCCUUAUGUCUUGGGCUUCACGCAUGCUACAAUGGCCGGUACAAAGUGUUGCGAGACCGUGAGGUGGAGCGAAUCACGAGAAAGCCGGUCUCAGUUCGGAUUGGGGUCUGCAACUCGACCCCAUGAAGUCGGAGU
This 759-nucleotide ribosomal RNA is filed under the name uncultured bacterium. Its description in RNAcentral is "bacterial SSU rRNA". It matches the Rfam family "Bacterial small subunit ribosomal RNA", at positions 577 to 1332 of the family's 1533-position model. The record is from RNAcentral.